AACGAACGCUGGCGGCAGGCCUAACACAUGCAAGUCGAGCGAGCAUUUCGGUGCUAGCGGCGGACGGGUGAGUAACGCGUGGGAACGUGCCCUUAUCUGCGGAAUAGUCCUGGGAAACUGGGGGUAAUACCGCAUACGCCCUUUUGGGGAAAGAUUUAUCGGAGAAGGAUCGGCCCGCGUUGGAUUAGGUAGUUGGUGGGGUAAUGGCCCACCAAGCCGACGAUCCAUAGCUGGUUUGAGAGGAUGAUCAGCCACACUGGGACUGAGACACGGCCCAGACCCCGGGGGGAGGCGGGAGGGGGGAAUUUAAAAGAGGGGGGCAACCCGGGAUCACCCCAGGCGGGGGGAGAGAGGAGGCCUUGGGGGUGAAAAACCUCUUCGAGGGGGGAAGAUAAGGAGGGAACCAGAAAAAGAACCCCCGGCAACCCCCGUC
RNAcentral lists this ribosomal RNA (433 nucleotides) under uncultured bacterium. Its description in RNAcentral is "partial 16S ribosomal RNA". It matches the Rfam family "Bacterial small subunit ribosomal RNA", at positions 29 to 497 of the family's 1533-position model. The record is from RNAcentral.